GACGAACGCUGGCGGCGUGCUUAACACAUGCAAGUCGAGCGGAAAGGCCCUGCUUUUGUGGGGUGCUCGAGUGGCGAACGGGUGAGUAACACGUGAGUAACCUGCCCUUGACUUUGGGAUAACUUCAGGAAACUGGGGCUAAUACCGGAUAGGAGCUCCUGCUGCAUGGUGGGGGUUGGAAAGUUUCGGCGGUUGGGGAUGGACUCGCGGCUUAUCAGCUUGUUGGUGGGGUAGUGGCUUACCAAGGCUUUGACGGGUAGCCGGCCUGAGAGGGUGACCGGCCACAUUGGGACUGAGAUACGGCCCAGACUCCUACGGGAGGCAGCAGUGGGGAAUAUUGCACAAUGGGCGGAAGUCUGAUGCAGCAACGCCGCGUGCGGGAUGACGGCCUUCGGGUUGUAAACCGCUUUCGCCUGUGACGAAGCGUGAGUGACGGUAAUGGGUAAAGAAGCACCGGCUAACUACGUG
Molecule: ribosomal RNA, 468 nt
Filed under: uncultured bacterium
Lineage: Bacteria
Description: partial 16S ribosomal RNA
Rfam family: Bacterial small subunit ribosomal RNA
Source: RNAcentral